This 247-nucleotide ribosomal RNA is filed under the name uncultured bacterium. Its description in RNAcentral is "partial 16S ribosomal RNA". It matches the Rfam family "Bacterial small subunit ribosomal RNA", at positions 60 to 334 of the family's 1533-position model. The record is from RNAcentral.
CGAGUCGCUACUCUUUUAGAGUGAGCGGCAAACGGGUGAGUAACGCGUGGGAAUNUACCCAUUUCUACGGAAUAACACAGNGAAAUUUGUGCUAAUACCGUAUACGUCCUUUUAGGAGAAAGAUUUAUCGGAGAUGGAUGAGCCCGCGUUGGAUUAGCUAGUUGGUGAGGUAACGGCUCACCAAGGCGACGAUCCAUAGCUGGUCUGAGAGGAUGAUCAGCCACACUGGGACUGAGACACGGCCCAG